This 449-nucleotide ribosomal RNA is filed under the name uncultured bacterium. RNAcentral's name for it is "bacterial SSU rRNA". It matches the Rfam family "Bacterial small subunit ribosomal RNA", at positions 29 to 524 of the family's 1533-position model. The record is from RNAcentral.
AACGAACGCUGGCGGCAUGCCUAACACAUGCAAGUCGAACGAGACCUUCGGGUCUAGUGGCGCACGGGUGCGUAACGCGUGGGAAUCUGCCCUUGGGUUCGGAAUAACAGUUAGAAAUGACUGCUAAUACCGGAUAAUGUCUUCGGACCAAAGAUUUAUCGCCCAGGAUGAGCCCGCGUAGGAUUAGCUAGUUGGUGAGGUAAAGGCUCACCAAGGCGACGAUCCUUAGCUGGUCUGAGAGGAUGAUCAGCCACACUGGGACUGAGACACGGCCCAGACUCCUACGGGAGGCAGCAGUGGGGAAUAUUGGACAAUGGGCGAAAGCCUGAUCCAGCAAUGCCGCGUGAGUGAUGAAGGCCUUAGGGUUGUAAAGCUCUUUUACCCGGGAUGAUAAUGACAGUACCGGGAGAAUAAGCCCCGGCUAACUCCGUGCCAGCAGCCGCGGUAAU